This 454-nucleotide long non-coding RNA is filed under the name Brassica napus (rape). Its description in RNAcentral is "long non-coding RNA (BNAP_LNC014753)". The record is from RNAcentral. Lineage: Eukaryota; Viridiplantae; Streptophyta; Magnoliopsida; Brassicales; Brassicaceae.
UUGGUAAAAGAUUAACAGAAAUUAGUAUAAACUCAGAAACAAUAAGAUGUUGAAGAUUCACAUCUCUACGAUUUAGAUUUAACAAAAGGAUUGGUCAUAAAACCAUCUCUGGCAAAUCUUUGAUGGCGAUAAGUUAUCGCCGAUAACACCUAUUCUCUCUUCUUCUUCGUUUUGUUUGAGAGAGAGAGAAAAUAAAAAAAUUCAAAAGUGAAAAUAUAGGAAAAUAAAAAGUCAAUUAGCAUGACACGCGGGGUAACAGGUCUCGUUAGGUAAGGCAUAAUUAACCUCGGUCUCUUAGCUGUGGUUCUUAACUCAUGAUUUGGUUUUUUUCUUUUUACACUUUUCGGGUAAGAGACGACUUUUAGAGCAUGAUUAUUAGAGGGUUCUUAGGGUGAGGUUCUUAGCGGAAUAUAAGAACCCGUCUCUUAACUUUUAACUAAAAAAGGUAAGAACC